Molecule: ribosomal RNA, 1388 nt
Filed under: Paratoxodera polyacantha
Lineage: Eukaryota; Metazoa; Arthropoda; Insecta; Mantodea; Toxoderidae
Description: 16S ribosomal RNA
Rfam family: Archaeal large subunit ribosomal RNA (bases 664-1388)
Source: RNAcentral
UUAAUAAACAGGUUAAGCUUAAAGUUAAGAUUUUCAUUUACACUGAAAUUAUUUAUCGUGCGAUUCGAUAUAAUCUGAAAUUUAUAUAAUUGUAUUAAUUACAUUAAUAACAAAUUGUAAACUGAUUAAAAUAGAUUUAUGUUGAUGUAGAAUUGAUUGAGAUAAUUAUUUUUACUAUAAAGUAUUAGUACUGUAAGGGAAAUCAUGAAAUAUUUUUUAUAAUUAAUAGAAGUUAAUUUUAUUUAUUGUAUCUUGUGUAUCAGAGUAGAUUGAAAUAAAUUUUUUAAUUAAUUUUUCUCGAAGUUAAAAGAUUUAAUUAGAAAUGUUAAUUAAUGUUUCAAAAUUAUUAAGAAUUUCUAAUUGGUAAUGAAAUGUUAUUCGUUUUUAAGAAUAUCUAGUUUUUUAAUAAAUGAAUUUAAUUCAGAGUGCUUAAAUUAUAUAAUUUAUUGGUGAAAGUAUUUAUUUUGUGUACUUAAUUUUUAAGGGGAAAAACUCUUUAAAAUAUAAUUAUAAUAAUUGAUGAUUUAUAGAAUUUUGUGAAUUUAGAAUUUGUUAUUAAUUAAAGGGUGUUAAAACUUAAUUCUUGUCAUGUACAAUUAAACUUUUAUUUAAUUUUUUUAUUAAAAUGUAAAGUGGAAUUUAAAAACUUUAAUAAAAAUGAUUUAAUUAGUAAAACAAAAAUCAUGAAAUAGUUAAUAAUUUGGUAUUUUAAAAUAAGGAAUUAAGCAAAAUUUUUGCUCGCCUGUUUAUUAAAAACAUGGUUUCUUGUAAUAAUAAAUUAUAUAGGAAAUUUGACCUGCCCACUGAAAAAUUUAAAGGGCCGCAGUAUUUUGACUGUGCAAAGGUAGCAUAAUCAUUAGUCUUUUAAUUGAAGGCUGGAAUGAAUGGUUGGACGAGGUAAAAACUGUCUUAUUUUUGAUGAAAAAUUGAAUUUAACUUUUAAGUAAAAAUGCUUAAAUAUAAUUAAGGGACGAGAAGACCCUAUAGAGUUUAAUAUUCAUAGUAUUAAUUGAGUUUAAAAUUAAUUUUUAAUUAAUAUGAAGUUUAUUUAAUUGGGGUGAUUAGAAGAUAAAUUAAACUCUUCUUUGAUUUUAAUAAUAUAAAUAAUUUAAGGAUCCAUAAAUAAUGAUUAUAAGAUUAAAUUACCUUAGGGAUAACAGCAUAAUUCUUUUUGAGAGUUCUAAUCGAGAAAGGAGAUUGUGACCUCGAUGUUGGAUUAAGAUGAAUUAUGGGUGCAGGUAUUCAAUAAUUAAGUCUGUUCGACUUUUAAAUUCUUACAUGAUCUGAGUUUAAACCGGUGUAAGCCAGGUUGGUUUCUAUCUUUAAUAAAUUAAAAUAUUUUAGUACGAAAGGACCAAAUAUUUAGAAUAAUUUUUUAAAAAUUGAAU